Molecule: long non-coding RNA, 573 nt
Filed under: Homo sapiens (human)
Lineage: Eukaryota; Metazoa; Chordata; Mammalia; Primates; Hominidae
Description: HSALNT0131056
Source: RNAcentral
UGGGGAACACGGCUGGGACUCACCUGCUGACUGAAGGCUUCAGAGGGCACCUCCUCCUCCCAUCUAUGUCGUCUGCCACUCCAAGAGACUCUCUGGUUCAAUUUCUCCUGAGAAGGAACCUUCCACCUGCCAUUUAGUGGAGAAAGGGCAACUUGGGAUGGAAAUUUUCUUUAUACAGACUUUUAGGUGGUCCUGCUGUUUUUAAAAGGAGACAUCUACCCUCAAUUUUGAGCAUUUCCAGGAGCCUGUUGUGGGACAUCAGCUUGCUUUUCUUUCGCCUCCCACUUUGUUUUUCUUUUUGUGGACACAUGUGUUUCCUCCUCCUCCAUUCUGUCAACCGAGUUAUCUUCUCUCAUCCACUCUGUGAAUUUGUUGUAUUUUUAUUUCUGCACAGACAUUUCUGGGGCAGGGAAAAACAAAUGCAUGGCAAUCCAACAUGUUUAAAUGAAAAGUUUUGCCUGGAUUUUUGUGAGCACUUUAACUCAUGGGCAGAGAAGUAAAAGUCAAAGAGCAUGGAACUAAAUGCCAGGAGACUGGGGUCUCACCCCAGCACCUCCCUGCCCUGCUUUGUGG